Molecule: ribosomal RNA, 443 nt
Filed under: uncultured bacterium
Lineage: Bacteria
Description: partial 16S ribosomal RNA
Rfam family: Bacterial small subunit ribosomal RNA
Source: RNAcentral
CCUACGGGAGGCAGCAGUGGGGAAUAUUGGGCAAUGGGCGCAAGCCUGACCCAGCAACGCCGCGUGAAGGAAGAAGGCUUUCGGGUUGUAAACUUCUUUUCUCAGGGACGAAGAAAGUGACGGUACCUCAGGAAUAAGCCACGGCUAACUACGUGCCAGCAGCCGCGGUAAUACGUAGGUGGCAAGCGUUAUCCGGAUUUAUUGGGUGUAAGGGGCGUGUAGGCGGGACAGCAAGUCAGAUGUGAAAACUCGGGGCUCAACCCUGGGACUGCAUUUGAAACUGUUUUUCUUGAGUGCUGGAGAGGCAGGCGGAAUUCCGAGUGUAGCGGUGAAAUGCGUAGAUAUUAGGAGGAACACCAGUGGCGAAGGCGGAUUGCUGGACGGUGACUGACGCUGAGGCGCGAAAGCGUGGGGAGCAAACAGGAUUAGAUACCCCGGUAGUC